RNAcentral lists this ribosomal RNA (392 nucleotides) under uncultured bacterium. RNAcentral's name for it is "bacterial SSU rRNA". It matches the Rfam family "Bacterial small subunit ribosomal RNA", at positions 30 to 424 of the family's 1533-position model. The record is from RNAcentral.
AUUGAACGCUGGCGGCAUGCCUUACACAUGCAAGUCGAACGGCAGUACGGGAGCAAUCCUGGUGGCGAGUGGCGAACGGGUGAGUAAUGUAUCGGAACGUACCUUUCAGUGGGGGAUAACGUAGCGAAAGUUACGCUAAUACCGCAUAUUCUGUGAGCAGGAAAGCAGGGGAUCGCAAGACCUUGCGCUGAUUGAGCGGCCGAUAUCAGAUUAGCUAGUUGGUGAGGUAAAGGCUCACCAAGGCGACGAUCUGUAGCGGGUCUGAGAGGAUGAUCCGCCACACUGGAACUGAGACACGGUCCAGACUCCUACGGGAGGCAGCAGUGGGGAAUUUUGGACAAUGGGCGCAAGCCUGAUCCAGCCAUGCCGCGUGAGUGAAGAAGGCCUCGGUU